UCCUGGUUGCCCAGGCAGUUUCUCUAGACACUGUAACUAGAGAUGAGGGUUGCGCUCGUUUCUAGACUUAACUAGAUACCUUGCGGCACGAGCUGACGACGACCAUGCACCACCUGUGUAUCCCGCGUAUUGCUACGCUAACCAGCUUUCACUGAUGACAAAAUACAUGUCAAACUUAGGUAAGGUUCUUGGCUUAUUAUCCAAUUAAUCUAGAUCAUCCACUGCUUGUGUGUUCCCCCGCCUAUUCCUUUGAGUUUCGGUCUUGCGACUAUACUACCCAGGCGACUCGCUUAACCCGUUAGGUUACAGUACCCAGCCCGAAGGCUCAGACACUUAGCGAGCAUAGUUUACAGCUUGGACUAC
Molecule: unclassified non-coding RNA, 363 nt
Filed under: uncultured bacterium
Lineage: Bacteria
Description: contains 16S-23S intergenic spacer region
Source: RNAcentral